UACGUAGGUGGCGAGCGUUGUCCGGAUUUACUGGGCGUAAAGGAUGCGUAGGCGGAUAUUUAAGUGGGAUGUGAAAUACCCGAGCUCAACUCGGGUGCUGCAUUCCAAACUGGAUAUCUAGAGUGUCGGAGAGGAAAGCGGAAUUCCUAGUGUAGCGGUGAAAUGCGUAGAGAUUAGGAAGAACACCAGUGGCGAAGGCGGCUUUCUGGACGAUAACUGACGCUGAGGAAUGAAAGCGUGGGGAGCAAACAGG
RNAcentral lists this ribosomal RNA (253 nucleotides) under uncultured bacterium. RNAcentral describes it as "partial 16S ribosomal RNA". It matches the Rfam family "Bacterial small subunit ribosomal RNA", at positions 524 to 776 of the family's 1533-position model. The record is from RNAcentral.